Molecule: ribosomal RNA, 1542 nt
Filed under: Escherichia coli
Lineage: Bacteria; Pseudomonadati; Pseudomonadota; Gammaproteobacteria; Enterobacterales; Enterobacteriaceae
Also listed under: 1 other name
Description: bacterial SSU rRNA
Rfam family: Bacterial small subunit ribosomal RNA
Source: RNAcentral
AAAUUGAAGAGUUUGAUCAUGGCUCAGAUUGAACGCUGGCGGCAGGCCUAACACAUGCAAGUCGAACGGUAACAGGAAGAAGCUUGCUGCUUUGCUGACGAGUGGCGGACGGGUGAGUAAUGUCUGGGAAACUGCCUGAUGGAGGGGGAUAACUACUGGAAACGGUAGCUAAUACCGCAUAACGUCGCAAGACCAAAGAGGGGGACCUUCGGGCCUCUUGCCAUCGGAUGUGCCCAGAUGGGAUUAGCUUGUUGGUGGGGUAACGGCUCACCAAGGCGACGAUCCCUAGCUGGUCUGAGAGGAUGACCAGCCACACUGGAACUGAGACACGGUCCAGACUCCUACGGGAGGCAGCAGUGGGGAAUAUUGCACAAUGGGCGCAAGCCUGAUGCAGCCAUGCCGCGUGUAUGAAGAAGGCCUUCGGGUUGUAAAGUACUUUCAGCGGGGAGGAAGGGAGUAAAGUUAAUACCUUUGCUCAUUGACGUUACCCGCAGAAGAAGCACCGGCUAACUCCGUGCCAGCAGCCGCGGUAAUACGGAGGGUGCAAGCGUUAAUCGGAAUUACUGGGCGUAAAGCGCACGCAGGCGGUUUGUUAAGUCAGAUGUGAAAUCCCCGGGCUCAACCUGGGAACUGCAUCUGAUACUGGCAAGCUUGAGUCUCGUAGAGGGGGGUAGAAUUCCAGGUGUAGCGGUGAAAUGCGUAGAGAUCUGGAGGAAUACCGGUGGCGAAGGCGGCCCCCUGGACGAAGACUGACGCUCAGGUGCGAAAGCGUGGGGAGCAAACAGGAUUAGAUACCCUGGUAGUCCACGCCGUAAACGAUGUCGACUUGGAGGUUGUGCCCUUGAGGCGUGGCUUCCGGAGCUAACGCGUUAAGUCGACCGCCUGGGGAGUACGGCCGCAAGGUUAAAACUCAAAUGAAUUGACGGGGGCCCGCACAAGCGGUGGAGCAUGUGGUUUAAUUCGAUGCAACGCGAAGAACCUUACCUGGUCUUGACAUCCACGGAAGUUUUCAGAGAUGAGAAUGUGCCUUCGGGAACCGUGAGACAGGUGCUGCAUGGCUGUCGUCAGCUCGUGUUGUGAAAUGUUGGGUUAAGUCCCGCAACGAGCGCAACCCUUAUCCUUUGUUGCCAGCGGUCCGGCCGGGAACUCAAAGGAGACUGCCAGUGAUAAACUGGAGGAAGGUGGGGAUGACGUCAAGUCAUCAUGGCCCUUACGACCAGGGCUACACACGUGCUACAAUGGCGCAUACAAAGAGAAGCGACCUCGCGAGAGCAAGCGGACCUCAUAAAGUGCGUCGUAGUCCGGAUUGGAGUCUGCAACUCGACUCCAUGAAGUCGGAAUCGCUAGUAAUCGUGGAUCAGAAUGCCACGGUGAAUACGUUCCCGGGCCUUGUACACACCGCCCGUCACACCAUGGGAGUGGGUUGCAAAAGAAGUAGGUAGCUUAACCUUCGGGAGGGCGCUUACCACUUUGUGAUUCAUGACUGGGGUGAAGUCGUAACAAGGUAACCGUAGGGGAACCUGCGGUUGGAUCACCUCCUUA